Long non-coding RNA from Alligator sinensis (Chinese alligator), 319 nucleotides. RefSeq lists it as uncharacterized. The record is from RefSeq and is a predicted model, not a curated record. The transcript is spliced from 3 exons. Lineage: Eukaryota; Metazoa; Chordata; Crocodylia; Alligatoridae.
UUCAGCGUGCCUUUCGGCUGCUCUACAGGGUGUUCGGUCUGCUUAUAGGAUUACCACCCACAACAGUAACUACUCUAAAGCCAGAAGCUGAGUAUGCAUAUGGGGUGGAAGAGAGGGCACCAGCAGAGGAAAGCCCAGAGGGGCAGCAGUUUGUCCGAAUCGUCCCCAGGAUCACCCCUGCGCUCCCAGGAGGAUCCCCACCAACUUAAUUGCACCGGCCUCUGAAGCAAGACAGCUGUGCAGAUGGGGGACGGUCAGAGAAAGUUUCUAAACUAACGGUGUGACCUCUCCAAACUCCAAGCUAGCACUAAGCCAGUCG